Molecule: ribosomal RNA, 1525 nt
Filed under: uncultured bacterium
Lineage: Bacteria
Description: 16S ribosomal RNA
Rfam family: Bacterial small subunit ribosomal RNA
Source: RNAcentral
GAGUUUGAUCCUGGCUCAGGACGAACGCUGGCGGCGUGCUUAACACAUGCAAGUCGAACGGUAAGGCCCUUUCGGCGGUACACGAGUGUUCAACGGCUGAGUAACACGUGGGUGAUCUGCCCUGCACUUUGGGAUAAACCUGGUAAACUGGCUCUAAUACCGGAUAGGACUACGCGAUGCAUGUCGUGUGCUGGAAAGCUUUUGCGCUGUGAUAUGGACCCGCGCCCUAUCAGCUUGUUGGAGGUGUGAUGGCCUACCCAGGCUACGACCGGUAUUCGGCCUGAGAGGGUGUCCGGCCACACUGGGACUGAGAUACGGCCCAGACUCCUACGGGAGGCAGCCCUGGAGAAUAUUGCACAGUGGACGCGAGCCUGAUGCCACGACCCCCCGAGUUGAAUGACGGCCUUCCCGUUGUAAACCCCUUUCACCUCAGACGAAUGGUAAGUGACGGUAUGUGCAGAAGAACCACCGGCCAACUACGUGCCAGCAUCCGCGGAAAUACGUAGGGUGCGAGCGUUGUCCGGAAGUACUGGGCGUAAAGAGCUCGUACGAGGUUUGUCGCGUUGUGCGGGAAGACUCACAACUCAAUUGUGCUUCUGCGUGCGAUACAGUAAGACUGAUGUACUGCCGCUUAGACUGGAAUUCCUGGUGUCCUUUGAAAAUGCGCAGAUAUCACGAGGAACACCGGUGGCGAACUUAAUGUCUCUGGUACGAUACUGACGCUGAGGAGCGAACGCGUGACCAGCGAACAGGAUUAGAUACCCUGGAAUACCACGCCAUAUACGCUGGUUCCUACGUGUGGGGAYCAUUCCACGGUUUCUGUGCCGUAGCUAACGCAUUAAGCGCCCCGCCUGGGGAGUACGGCCGCAAGGCUAAAACUCAAAGGAAUUGACGGGGGCCCGCACAAGCGGCGGAGCAUGUGGAUUAAUUCGAUGCAACGCGAAGAACCUUACCUGGGUUUGACAUGCACCAGGCGCGUCUAGAGAUAGGCGUUCCCUUGUGGUUGGUGUGCAGGUGGUGCAUGGCUGUCGUCAGCUCGUGUCGUGAGAUGUUGGGUUAAGUCCCGCAACGAGCGCAACCCUUGUUCCAUGUUGCCAGCACGCGGUGGAAGCCGUGGUGGGACUCAUGGGAGACUGCCGGGGUCAACUCGGAGGAAGGUGGGGAUGACGUCAAGUCAUCAUGCCCCUUAUGUCCAGGGCUUCACACAUGCUACAAUGGCCUAUACAGAGGGCUGCGAGACCGUGAGGUGGAGCGAAUCCCUUAAAGUGGGUCUCAGUUCGGAUCGGGGUCUGCAACUCGACCCCGUGAAGUUGGAGUCGCUAGUAAUCGCAGAUCAGCAACGCUGCGGUGAAUACGUUCCCGGGCCUUGUACACACCGCCCGUCACGUCACGAAAGUUGGUAACACCCGAAGCCCAUGGCCUAACCCGCUUGCGGGGGGGAGUGGUCGAAGGUGGGACUGGCGAUUGGGACGAAGUCGUAACAAGGUAGCCGUACCGGAAGGUGCGGCUGGAUCACCUCCUUUCU